AAGUCGUAACAAGGUUUCCGUAGGUGAACCUGCGGAAGGAUCAUUAUCGAACCCGAACCGUCCGGUGGGGGGGUCUCCCCCCUACCGGGCCUUCGAACCCGCUUCACACCCUCGUGCACUCCCUGUAGGUCCCUCGGGAUCCCUACGUCUCGUCUUUCGCUCGCAUGUCUAAAGAAAGUAUUCUUCGUGUCUCGGCCUCGACCCUCGAGGGUCCCGCGUCGACGACCGUGAACGCCAGUACAACUUUCAGCGACGGAUCUCUUGGCUCUCGCAUCGAUGAAGAACGCAGCGAAUCGCGAUAAGUAAUGUGAAUUGCAGAUUUUCCGUGAAUCAUCGAAUCUUUGAACGCACCUUGCGCUCCUCGGUAUUCCGAGGAGCAUGCCUGUUCGAGUGUCGUCGAAACCUCGAAUCGAAGCUCGGGACCCCCCCAGCUUCGUUCGGACCUUGGGAGCCUGCGGGCGAGCCUUUGCCUCGUCCGCUCUCCUCAAAGGCAUUAGCUUGUGGACGGCCAGCCUCGCGUGGCACGGCCUCUUCGACGUCGUAAUGAUCGUCGUGGGCUGGAAGCGCCAGGCCGGACCCCAAGCUUCCCUAGACUUGCGAGCCCGCUCUCCGGAACGGCCGCGCCCCAUCGACCCUCGACCUCGAAUCAGGUAGGACUACCCGCCGAACUUAA
The sequence is a ribosomal RNA, 673 nucleotides long. The stretch from base 242 to 396 matches the Rfam family "5.8S ribosomal RNA".